Molecule: regulatory RNA element, 119 nt
Rfam family: ylbH leader
About the family: This family is a putative regulatory RNA structure that is found upstream of the ylbH gene in B. subtilis and related low GC Gram-positive bacteria.
Source: Rfam
AAAAAAAAAGCCCUGCAGUUUCUGCAGGGUCCUUCUAUAUCCUGUCAACAGGAUAGAAGGCAAAGGGAGAGGAGAAACCGGAGGAAGAACUUAUGGGGAAACGUAAGUCUUCUCCGCGG